AAACUCAAAGGAAUUGACGGGGGCCCGCACAAGCGGUGGAGCAUGUGGUUUAAUUCGACGCAACGCGAAGAACCUUACCAGGCCUUGUAUCCCGGUCGCGGCCCUUUGAAAGAGGGGCCUUCAGUUCGGCUGGACCGGUGACAGGUGCUGCAUGGCUGUCGUCAGCUCGUGUCGUGAGAUGUUGGGUUAAGUCCCGCAACGAGCGCAACCCUCGCCCUUAGUUGCCAUCAUUUAGUUGGGCACUCUAAGGGGACUGCCGGUGAUAAGCCGCGAGGAAGGUGGGGAUGACGUCAAGUCCUCAUGGCCCUUACGGCCUGGGCCACACACGUGCUACAAUGGCGGUGACAAUGGGCAGCAAACCCGCAAGGGGGCGCUAAUCUCAAAAAGCCGUCUCAGUUCGGAUUGGAGUCUGCAACUCGACUCCAUGAAGUUGGAAUCGCUAGUAAUCGUGGAUCAGCACGCCACGGUGAAUACGUUCCCGGGCCUUGUACACACCGCCCGUCACACCAUGGGAGUUGGGUUUACCCGAAGGUGGUGCGCUAACCCGCAAGGGAGGCAGCCAACCACGGUAGGCUCAGCGACUGGGGUGAAGUCGUAACAAGGUAGCCGUAGGGGAACCUGCGGCUGGAUCACCUCCUUUCUG
Molecule: ribosomal RNA, 643 nt
Filed under: uncultured Bauldia sp.
Lineage: Bacteria; Pseudomonadati; Pseudomonadota; Alphaproteobacteria; Hyphomicrobiales; Kaistiaceae
Description: bacterial SSU rRNA
Rfam family: Bacterial small subunit ribosomal RNA
Source: RNAcentral